This 504-nucleotide ribosomal RNA is filed under the name Clostridium botulinum D/C. RNAcentral describes it as "partial 23S ribosomal RNA". It matches the Rfam family "Bacterial large subunit ribosomal RNA", at positions 2186 to 2688 of the family's 2925-position model. The record is from RNAcentral. Lineage: Bacteria; Bacillati; Bacillota; Clostridia; Eubacteriales; Clostridiaceae.
UCGUCCUUGGGAUACCACCCUGACAGUACUGGAAUUCUAACUGGAGGCCAUGAAUCUGGUCACAGGACAUUGCUAGGUGGGCAGUUUGACUGGGGCGGUCGCCUCCUAAAAGGUAACGGAGGCGCCCAAAGGUUCCCUCAGCGCGGUCGGAAAUCGCGCGUAGAGUGCAAAGGCAGAAGGGAGCCUGACUGCGACACAUACAGGUGGAGCAGGGACGAAAGUCGGGCUUAGUGAUCCGGUGGUUCUGUAUGGAAGGGCCAUCGCUCAACGGAUAAAAGCUACCUCGGGGAUAACAGGCUGAUCUCCCCCAAGAGUCCACAUCGACGGGGAGGUUUGGCACCUCGAUGUCGGCUCGUCGCAUCCUGGGGCUGUAGUCGGUCCCAAGGGUUGGGCUGUGCGCCCAUUAAAGCGGCACGCGAGCUGGGUGCAGAACGUCGUGAGACAGUUCGGUCCCUAUCCGCCGUGGGCGUAGGAAAUUUGAGAGGAGCUGUCCUUAGUACGAGA